GGGGAAUAUUGCACAAUGGGCGCAAGCCUGAUGCAGCGACGCCGCGUGGGGGAUGACGGCCUUCGGGUUGUAAACUCCUUUCGCUAGGGACGAAGCUUUGUGUGACGGUACCUAGAUAAGAAGCACCGGCUAACUACGUGCCAGCAGCCGCGGUAAUACGUAGGGUGCGAGCGUUGUCCGGAAUUACUGGGCGUAAAGGGCUCGUAGGUGGUUUGUCGCGUCGUCUGUGAAAUUCCGGGGCUUAACUCCGGGCGUGCAGGCGAUACGGGCAUAACUUGAGUACUGUAGGGGUAACUGGAAUUCCUGGUGUAGCGGUGAAAUGCGCAGAUAUCAGGAGGAACACCGAUGGCGAAGGCAGGUUACUGGGCAGUUACUGACGCUGAGGAGCGAAAGCAUGGGUAGCGAACAGGAUUAGAUACCCUGGUAGUCCAUGCCGUAAACGGUGGGCGCUAGGUGUGAGGGUCUUUUCACGACUUUCGUGCCGUAGCUAACGCAUUAAGCGCCCCGCCUGGGGAGUACGGCCGCAAGGCUA
RNAcentral lists this ribosomal RNA (532 nucleotides) under uncultured bacterium. RNAcentral describes it as "bacterial SSU rRNA". It matches the Rfam family "Bacterial small subunit ribosomal RNA", at positions 356 to 896 of the family's 1533-position model. The record is from RNAcentral.